CAUAAUCACUUGUCUUUUAAUUGAAGUCUGGUAUGAAUGGUUGGAUGAAAAAUUUACUUUCUUUAUUUUAAAGAUAAAAUUUAACUUUUUAGUCAAAAGGCUAAAAUUCCUUUAUAGGACGAGAAGACCCUAUAGAGCUUUACUUCCCUUUCUUUUUUAUUUACUUGUAAAUAAUUUUUUAUUAAAGAAAGGGAAGUUUUAUUGGGGUGAUAAAAAAAAUUUUUUAACUUUUUUUCUUUUUUUCAUUUAUUUAUGAUGUUUUUGAUCCUUUACUAUGGAUAGUAAGAUUGAGCUACCUUAGGGAUAACAGCGUUAUUAUUUUAGAGAGUCCAUAUCGAUAAAAUAGUUUGCGACCUCGAUGUUGGAUUAAAUUUAGUAUUAGGGGCAGAACUUUAAUUACUAGGUCUGUUCGACCUUUAAAUUUUUACAUGAUCUGAG
Molecule: ribosomal RNA, 438 nt
Filed under: Europiella stigmosa
Lineage: Eukaryota; Metazoa; Arthropoda; Insecta; Hemiptera; Miridae
Description: partial 16S ribosomal RNA
Rfam family: Bacterial large subunit ribosomal RNA
Source: RNAcentral